Long non-coding RNA from Helianthus annuus (common sunflower), 354 nucleotides. RefSeq lists it as uncharacterized. NCBI's taxonomy places the organism in Eukaryota, Viridiplantae, Streptophyta, Magnoliopsida, Asterales, Asteraceae. The transcript has 3 exons. The record is from RefSeq and is a predicted model, not a curated record.
AGAAGAAGAACAAGGAACAAACCCUUGUUCAACCUUAAUCCAUCAAAUUGGAGGAUGAAUUAGGGCAAAUCACAUGCAUGAACAUAAAUUCGUGAUUAUCUAAGCUUGGAGAUCAUAAGUUUGACGCUUGACAAGCUAGGUGGACGCUUGGGAAGAAGCGGGUCAAGAAGAUCAAAUACGCGGGAAAAACAUAAUCGGAUGCAAGUCACGGAUGGAGAUCAAGCUCAAGGAAGAACCGAACACGACCAAGUUAAAGCUUCCGCACUUUGUUUUGUUAUUACGAAACGAAUCAAUGAUAACACAUUUAAUUGUUUAAUUUUUAUAAAGUUUUAAUAAACUCUUUUUAUCGUACGA